Non-coding RNA from Arachis ipaensis, 1392 nucleotides. The record is from RefSeq and is a predicted model, not a curated record. NCBI's taxonomy places the organism in Eukaryota, Viridiplantae, Streptophyta, Magnoliopsida, Fabales, Fabaceae.
ACUAGUCACUAUGUUGAGACUAUACCUCUUACACUUUUUCAUUUACUUCCUAUUUCUUCCACCUUAUUCAUGCUCGUUUGAUAUGAGAAGAGGACAUGAGAAAGUAUCACCACAGCUUAGCCUUCACCGCACUGCAGUUUGCGUUCGCCGUUCUCCAUUUUCCGUUCGCUUUUGCCGUUUAUCGAUUGCCGUUCGCCGUUCGCCGUCCCCCUCGUCCUUCUCUUCCCCUCUUUCACGAGGCAACCAAAACUUUCAUGGAUUUCGAAUCAAUCACUCAGGUCAUCGACGAGUAUGAGGGUUCCAAAGAAGGUGCUGUAGUUCGCUGGUAUUGAGGAUGUGUUUACUUCAUCAAGAGGAUCCACUAAGACACUGAAAUUUCGACAAGGUUUCAAAUUCUGUUCAGAUUAAUUUUUUUCUUCUAGAUUGUUUAAUUUUAUAAUCUCCCAUUGAUGUAUUUAUUCUAAGUAUUGAAAAAGCAAGAAUAGCAUUAUGCUGAAUCUUUUAAUUAUAAGUACCAGUGGGUGAGCAAUGCAGCCGAGGAGACCGUGAGCCUUGCAUUUUACAUGGUGAUGUUCUAUAUGUUUAGGCCUGUGGAGAAGAAUGAGUACUUUGUGCUUGAUGAUGAGGAGGAAGAGGCUGCCGAAAUGGCCCUUAGGGAAGAGAAAUUUGAGCUUUGAAUAGGGAAACUCAAUUUGGUUGGCUCUUCUUUUGGUUUUGGUUUAACAGUUGAACCUCUCUAUGCCACAGAUUUCAAGACAUUCGGUGAAGCUCUUGUGGUUCAGGGACGAGAUUUCUUGGUUAAAAGUUUUAGGGAAAUUGAGGGUCUUAAAAUAUCAGAACCCCAGGGGGCAUUUUAUCUAUUCAUUGAUUUCAACUACUACUAUGGAAAAGAAGCUGAAGGAUUUGGUAGAAUUGAUGAUUCGGAGUCCCUUUGUCGAUAUCUUCUGGAUAAGGGCCAUGUAAACUCUUUUAAUGGCCUUUAUUGUUUAUUUGAGGAACAUAUUUAAGGGUCAGUCUCCGUCACUGCCUCUGAACUCUCUCGCCUUUGUAUUUGGCAUGGUUAGGAGAAGGGAGCAUUGAUUGCCCUUGGAUAGAAACAAGGCUGCUAAAAGAGAGUGAAUCCGGUGAAACACUAUCAGCUGCAACGUGGGAGAUACUUUACUUGCUGGAAGUUGAAACUACCUUUUAUGUCCAUUGGAUUGUGUUUUGCCGACUUCAAGUUUGUUUGUUCUCAUUUUCAUCUUUUCCCCUACUUUAGUCCCCUUUUGUGAAGCAGAAUUUAACAGUGUAUGAAGAGAAGAAGGCUAAUAAAGAAGUAUCAAAGUCCUAAAAAAUUUCUCAAAAUUGUUGAAGAUGCUAAAUUAGUGUUAUUCCCUAAUGCAAGAGGAAAUG